This 119-nucleotide ribosomal RNA is filed under the name Triticum dicoccoides. Lineage: Eukaryota; Viridiplantae; Streptophyta; Magnoliopsida; Poales; Poaceae. The record is from RNAcentral.
GGAUGCGAUCAUACCAGCACUAAAGCACCGGAUCCCAUCAAAACUCCAAAGUUAAGCGUGCUUGGGCGAGAGUAGUACUUGGAUGGGUGACCUCCUGGGAAGUCCUCGUGUUGCAUUCC